GUACACGCUGUGACUAGCAUAUCAAUAAGCGGAGGAAAAGAAACUAACAAGGAUUCCCCUAGUAACGGCGAGUGAAGCGGGAAGAGCUCAAAUUUGAAAUCUUAAAGGGUUUCCCUUUACGAAUUGUAGUUUAAAGAAGUGUUUUCUGUUGAGGUUUUGGUAAAAGUUCUUUGGAAUAGGACAUCAUAGAGGGUGAGAAUCCCGUAUUUGACCUUUACUUUCAACUUUGCGAUACACUUUCAAAGAGUCGGAUUGUUUGGGAAUGCAGUCCAAAAUGGGUGGUAAAUUUCAUCUAAAGCUAAAUAUUGGCGAGAGACCGAUAGCGAACAAGUACCGUGAGGGAAAGAUGAAAAGAACUUUGAAAAGAGAGUUAAACAGUACGUGAAAUUAUCAAAAGGGAAGCGUUUGACACCAGUGUUGUUUUUCUGAAAAUCAAUUAAAGAACUGUUUAUGCUAAGUUGUUUAGACUUUAUCAGCUAACUGUUUAGUUUUGAGCUUUUCUUUAAUGCACUUUUCAGUUAACAAGUCAACAUCAAUUUCUUUUGCUGUAAAAAAGCUUGAGGAAGGUGGCUUGAGAUUCGUCUUAAGUGUUUAUAGCCUCUUGCCUAUGCAGUCGGAGAGAUUGAGGUCUGCAGCGUAGAUCCUUCGGGGCUAAAUGCAUUUGUGCUAAGUUAUAGCAUUUUAUAGACAACUUGUUGACUAUGAUUUGUCUUGUAGCUUACUCGCUUAUGUUAUUUUACCUACGCUUAGGAUGUUGACGCGCGUGUGUGCGUG
This 774-nucleotide ribosomal RNA is filed under the name uncultured Neocallimastigales. RNAcentral describes it as "partial large subunit ribosomal RNA". It matches the Rfam family "Eukaryotic large subunit ribosomal RNA", at positions 22 to 639 of the family's 3401-position model. Lineage: Eukaryota; Fungi; Neocallimastigomycota; Neocallimastigomycetes; Neocallimastigales. The record is from RNAcentral.